RNAcentral lists this ribosomal RNA (492 nucleotides) under uncultured bacterium. Its description in RNAcentral is "partial 16S ribosomal RNA". It matches the Rfam family "Bacterial small subunit ribosomal RNA", at positions 29 to 507 of the family's 1533-position model. The record is from RNAcentral.
AGUGAACGCUGGCGGUAGGCCUAACACAUGCAAGUCGAACGGCAGCACAGUAAGAGCUUGCUCUUCCGGGUGGCGAGUGGCGGACGGGUGAGGAAUACAUCGGAAUCUACUUUUUCGUGGGGGAUAACGUAGGGAAACUUACGCUAAUACCGCAUACGCCCUACGGGUGAAAGCAGGGGAUCUUCGGACCUUGCGCGAUUGAAUGAGCCGAUGUCGGAUUAGCUAGUUGGCGGGGUAAAGGCCCACCAAGGCGACGAUCCGUAGCUGGUCUGUGAGGAUGAUCAGCCACACUAGAACUGAGACACGGUCCAGACUCCUACGAGAGGCAGCAGUGGGGAAUAUUGGACAAUGGGCGCAAGCCUGAUCCAGCCAUACCGCGUGGGUGAAGAAGGCCUUCGGGUUGUAAAGCCCUUUUGUUGGGAAAGAAAAGCAGCAGGUUAAUACCCCGCUGUUCUGACGGUACCCAAAGAAUAAGCACCGGCUAACUUCGUG